Brassica oleracea var. oleracea is the source of this 483-nucleotide long non-coding RNA. RefSeq lists it as uncharacterized. The transcript has 3 exons. NCBI's taxonomy places the organism in Eukaryota, Viridiplantae, Streptophyta, Magnoliopsida, Brassicales, Brassicaceae. The record is from RefSeq and is a predicted model, not a curated record.
UACCCCUAGAAAAGCCGCCUAUACAUACACACCCACGUCAAGACUCACUCAUCUGCAGAGUUUCUUUCAAGGGCUUCUUCGUUGGCAGGAAAAAUAACACGUCUUCUCGGUAUUUCUUUGUCUAUAUUCUUGGAAAAAGCGAUGAGGUCUCGUUGCACUUUCCCAAAUGUAGACAAAGCAAAACCGUGAUGACGUCAAAGAGGAUCUUGUUGAUGUGUUUGUGUGUUAAUAUUGACUGAUCAAGAGCAUGGAUCAAUAGACAUGAGGACUGAUCAAGAGUGUGGAUCAAGAGACAACUGCAAUACAUGUCAAAAAAGCGUUAAAGUGUGUAGCAUUGGGAGGUCACGGAGAGCUCACAGUCACAGACUUGUCUUAAUUUUCUUGUCUGGUUCACAUGUUCUUUACUGUUUGUCUUGGUCUUGUAUUCUUCUGCAAAGAAAGGUCACAGACUUGUAUAGGGUUUGUCAGUUUGUAUGCAUCAGU